This 492-nucleotide ribosomal RNA is filed under the name uncultured bacterium. Its description in RNAcentral is "partial 16S ribosomal RNA". It matches the Rfam family "Bacterial small subunit ribosomal RNA", at positions 29 to 507 of the family's 1533-position model. The record is from RNAcentral.
AGUGAACGCUGGCGGUAGGCCUAACACAUGCAAGUCGAACGGCACCACAGUAAGAGCUUGCUCUUACGGGUGGCGAGUGGCGGACGGGUGAGGAAUACAUCGGAAUCUACUUUUUCGUGGGGGGUAACGUAGGGAAACUUACGCUAAUACCGCAUACGACCUACGGGUGAAAGCAGGGGAUCUUCGGACCUUGCGCGAUUGAAUGAGCCGAUGUCGGAUUAGCUAGUUGGCGGGGUAAAGGCCCACCAAGGCGACGAUCCGUAGCUGGUCUGAGAGGAUGAUCAGCCACACUGGAACUGAGACACGGUCCAGACUCCUACGGGAGGCAGCAGUGGGGAAUAUUGGACAAUGGGCGCAAGCCUGAUCCAGCCAUACCGCGUGGGUGAAGAAGGCCUUCGGGUUGUAAAGCCCUUUUGUUGGGAAAGAAAAGCAGCAGGUUAAUACCCCGCUGUUCUGACGGUACCCAAAGAAUAAGCACCGGCUAACUUCGUG